Molecule: ribosomal RNA, 682 nt
Filed under: uncultured fungus
Lineage: Eukaryota; Fungi
Description: eukaryotic LSU rRNA
Rfam family: 5.8S ribosomal RNA (bases 152-305)
Source: RNAcentral
GUCGUAACAAGGUUUCCGUAGGUGAACCUGCGGAAGGAUCAUUAGUGAAUUGAGCUGGCUUCGGCCGCUCUGAUCUAUACACACCUGUGAACUGUUGGCCUUCGGGUCUUUAAAUACAACUGUGACGAACGUAAAUUAUUAUAACAAAUAAAACUUUUAACAACGGAUCUCUUGGCUCUCGCAUCGAUGAAGAACGCAGCGAAAUGCGAUAAGUAAUGUGAAUUGCAGAAUUCAGUGAAUCAUCGAAUCUUUGAACGCACCUUGCGCCCGUUGGUAUUCCGACGGGCAUGCCUGUUUGAGUGUCGUGAACAACCUCAACCUUGAUUGGUUUUACCAUCAAGGCUUGGACUUGGGUGUUGCUGCUGCAAAGUGGCUCGCCUUAAAAUCAUUAGCUGGACUUGUCUAUGACUUGGUUCGACUCGAUGUAAUAAGUAUUCAUCGGGGACAGGGUAAAACCUGGCCAAGGCUUGAUGCCGUCUGCUUCUAAUCAUGUUCUCACUAUGAGACGCUACUUUACUGUGUGGCCUCAAAUCAGGUAGGAUUACCCGCUGAACUUAAGCAUAUCAAUAAGCGGAGGAAAAGAAACUAACAAGGAUUCCCCUAGUAACGGCGAGUGAAGCGGGAUGAGCUCAAAUUUGUAAUCUGGUGGACUCAGUUCAUCCGAGUUGUAAUCUAUAGAAGU